This 74-nucleotide transfer RNA is filed under the name Streptosporangium subroseum. It matches the Rfam family "tRNA". Rfam says of the family: Transfer RNA (tRNA) molecules are approximately 80 nucleotides in length. Their secondary structure includes four short double-helical elements and three loops (D, anti-codon, and T loops). Lineage: Bacteria; Bacillati; Actinomycetota; Actinomycetes; Streptosporangiales; Streptosporangiaceae. The record is from Rfam by way of RNAcentral. RNAcentral also lists the same sequence under 7 other names.
GCACCCUUAGCUCAGCUGGAUAGAGCAUCGGACUUCUAAUCCGACGGUCGCAGGUUCGAAUCCUGCAGGGUGCA